UUCAACGAGCGAACAAACUGCUUAACGAGCAAGUCACCAUCAGUGCCCGCAUUGUUGCAAGUUUCCACGAAGUGUGCAAUAUGUUGCUUUGGGUUGCCCUUGCCAUCAAAUUGUUGGAAUUUUGGAGGUUGAUAUCCUACAGGCAUCUUCAAACCUUCCACUCUAGCAGUGUAAGGUUUAGUAUAACCGCUAUAUGACUUGACACUUCCACCAAUCUUGUCCUUGAUUGUGCCUUCGAUAAAUUCCUUCAAAUUAUCAACAUGAAUGGUGCCAUCAGGGGAGAUUGAAAAUUCCUUCGCGACUUGUGACUUCGCAUCCUCUUUUUCC
This 327-nucleotide long non-coding RNA is filed under the name Coffea arabica (coffee). RNAcentral describes it as "long non-coding RNA (CARA_LNC006843)". The record is from RNAcentral. Lineage: Eukaryota; Viridiplantae; Streptophyta; Magnoliopsida; Gentianales; Rubiaceae.